RNAcentral lists this long non-coding RNA (281 nucleotides) under Chinchilla lanigera (long-tailed chinchilla). RNAcentral describes it as "lncRNA (ENSCLAG00000025792.1)". Lineage: Eukaryota; Metazoa; Chordata; Mammalia; Rodentia; Chinchillidae. The record is from RNAcentral.
AUGACCCCUAUUGAGGUUGGUUAACAUUAAAAUAUUUAUCUCUGAAGGGAACACAAAUGAAAAUAUCUCAGAGAGGAGUGAGAGGAGACAUCAGGGUACCAGGAGCCGGAAUCUCAACCAUCUGGAAUCCUACUGAGACUUGGCGGCCCGUUCCAGAGUUUCAGAGCAGAGAGCUGAUCUUGGAGAUUGCAAUUUCCAGGCGAAGUUCAUCCCUCAUCCAGUCUCACGCAAUUCCAGUAUUUUUCAAUCUAUGGAAUGAAUAAUAAAUUUAACUACCACCU